RNAcentral lists this ribosomal RNA (253 nucleotides) under uncultured bacterium. RNAcentral describes it as "partial 16S ribosomal RNA". It matches the Rfam family "Bacterial small subunit ribosomal RNA", at positions 524 to 776 of the family's 1533-position model. The record is from RNAcentral.
UACGAAGGGGGCUAGCGUUAAUCGGAAUUACUGGGCGUAGAGCGUGCGCAGGCGGUUUUGUAAGUCAGAUGUGAAAUCCCCGAGCUCGACUUGGGAACUGCGUUCGAAACUACAAGACUAGAAUAUGUCAGAGGGGGGUAGAAUUCCACGUGUAGCAGUGAAAUGCGUAGAGAUGUGGAGGAAUACCAAUGGCGAAGGCAGCCCCCUGGGAUAAUAUUGACGCUCAUGCACGAAAGCGUGGGGAGCAAACAGG